RNAcentral lists this ribosomal RNA (275 nucleotides) under uncultured prokaryote. RNAcentral's name for it is "partial 16S ribosomal RNA". It matches the Rfam family "Bacterial small subunit ribosomal RNA", at positions 524 to 800 of the family's 1533-position model. The record is from RNAcentral.
UACGUAGGGGCUAGCGUUAUCCGGAUUUACUGGGCGUAAAGGGUGCGUAGGUGGUUUCUUAAGUCAGAGGUGAAAGGCUACGGCUCAACCGUAGUAAGCCUUUGAAACUGGGGAACUUGAGUGCAGGAGAGGAGAGUGGAAUUCCUAGUGUAGCGGUGAAAUGCGUAGAUAUUAGGAGGAACACCAGUUGCGAAGGCGGCUCUCUGGACUGUAACUGACACUGAGGCACGAAAGCAUGGGGAGCGAACAGGAUUAGAUACCCUGGUAGUCCCUGA